AUGGAAGUCGCUCGAGCUCUGGUAUUGAUUGAUGCUUGCAUCAUGAUUUACAUUUGAGUGAGUGGCGAACUGGUGAGUAACACGUGGGAAACCUGCCCAGAAGCGGGGGAUAACACCUGGAAACAGAUGCUAAUACCGCAUAACAACUUGGACCGCAUGGUCCGAGUUUGAAAGAUGGCUUCGGCUAUCACUUUUGGAUGGUCCCGCGGCGUAUUAGCUAGAUGGUGGGGUAACGGCUCACCAUGGCAAUGAUACGUAGCCGACCUGAGAGGGUAAUCGGCCACAUUGGGACUGAGACACGGCCCAAACUCCUACGGGAGGCAGCAGUAGGGAAUCUUCCACAAUGGACGAAAGUCUGAUGGAGCAACGCCGCGUGAGUGAAGAAGGGUUUCGGCUCGUAAAACUCUGUUGUUAAAGAAGAACAUAUCUGAGAGUAACUGUUCAGGUAUUGACGGUAUUUAACCAGAAAGCCACGGCUAACUACGUGCCAGCAGCCGCGGUAAUACGUAGGUGGCAAGCGUUGUCCGGAUUUAUUGGGCGUAAAGCGAGCGCAGGCGGUUUUUUAAGUCUGAUGUGAAAGCCUUCGGCUCAACCGAAGAAGUGCAUCGGAAACUGGGAAACUUGAGUGCAGAAGAGGACAGUGGAACUCCAUGUGUAGCGGUGAAAUGCGUAGAUAUAUGGAAGAACACCAGUGGCGAAGGCGGCUGUCUGGUCUGUAACUGACGCUGAGGCUCGAAAGUAUGGGUAGCAAACAGGAUUAGAUACCCUGGUAGUCCAUACCGUAAACGAUGAAUGCUAAGUGUUGGAGGGUUUCCGCCCUUCAGUGCUGCAGCUAACGCAUUAAGCAUUCCGCCUGGGGAGUACGGCCGCAAGGCUGAAACUCAAAGGAAUUGACGGGGGCCCGCACAAGCGGUGGAGCAUGUGGUUUAAUUCGAAGCUACGCGAAGAACCUUACCAGGUCUUGACAUACUAUGCAAAUCUAAGAGAUUAGACGUUCCCUUCGGGGACAUGGAUACAGGUGGUGCAUGGUUGUCCUCAGCUCGUGUCGUGAGAUGUUGGGUUAAGUCCCGCAACGAGCGCAACCCUUAUUAUCAGUUGCCAGCAUUAAGUUGGGCACUCUGGUGAGACUGCCGGUGACAAACCGGAAGAAGGU
Molecule: ribosomal RNA, 1153 nt
Filed under: Lactiplantibacillus plantarum
Lineage: Bacteria; Bacillati; Bacillota; Bacilli; Lactobacillales; Lactobacillaceae
Description: bacterial SSU rRNA
Rfam family: Bacterial small subunit ribosomal RNA
Source: RNAcentral